GACGAACGCUGGCGGCGUGCUUAACACAUGCAAGUCGAACGCUGAAGCUCAGCUUUUGUUGGGUGGAUGAGUGGCGAACGGGUGAGUAACACGUGAGUAACCUGCCUCCUUCUUUGGGAUAACGCCCGGAAACGGGCGCUAAUACUGGAUAUUCACUGGUCUUCGCAUGGGGGUUGGUGGAAAGGGUUUUUCUGGUGGGGGAUGGGCUCGCGGCCUAUCAGCUUGUUGGUGGGGUGAUGGCCUACCAAGGCUUUGACGGGUAGCCGGCCUGAGAGGGUGACCGGUCACAUUGGGACUGAGAUACGGCCCAGACUCCUACGGGAGGCAGCAGUGGGGAAUAUUGCACAAUGGGCGCAAGCCUGAUGCAGCGACGCCGCGUGAGGGAUGGAGGCCUUCGGGUUGUGAACCUCUUUCGCUCAUGGUCAAGCCGCAACAAUGGUUGUGGUGAGGGUAGUGGGUAAAGAAGCGCCGGCUAACUACGUG
This 483-nucleotide ribosomal RNA is filed under the name uncultured bacterium. RNAcentral's name for it is "partial 16S ribosomal RNA". It matches the Rfam family "Bacterial small subunit ribosomal RNA", at positions 28 to 507 of the family's 1533-position model. The record is from RNAcentral.